GCCGUAGCGAAAGCAAGUCUGAAUAGGGCGUUGAGUAAUAUGCGGUAGACCCGAAACCGAGUGAUCUAGCCAUGGCCAGGAUGAAGUCCCGGUAACACGGGAUGGAGGUCCGAACCCACUUCGGUUGAAAACGGAGGGGAUGAGUUGUGGUUAGGGGUGAAAGGCCAAUCAAACUCAGAGAUAUCUGGUUCUCGCCGAAAUGCCUUUAGGGGCAGCGUUGUAUUAGUGUACCGGGGGUAGAGCACUGAAUGGGCUAGGGGGCCUACAAGCUUACCAACCCCAAUCAAACUCCGAAUACCGGAUACAUGAUGUAUAGCAGUGAGGCUAUGGGCGAUAAGGUUCAUAGCCGAGAGGGAAACAACCCAGAUCAACAGCUAAGGUCCCAAAAUUGAUACUAAGUGAUAAAGGAUGUCAAAUCGCCCAGACAGCUAGGAGGUUGGCUUAGAAGCAGCCAUCCUUUAAAGAAAGCGUAACAGCUCACUAGUCGAGGGGUUUUGCGCCGAUAAUAUCCGGGACUAUAAGUAUCAUACCGAAGCUUUGAGAUUCUUAGAAUCGGUAGGCGAGCGUUCCAUUGACCGUUGAAGGUGGACCCGUGAGGGCCGCUGGAGGAGAUGGAAAUGAGUAUGCUGGCAUGAGUAGCGAUAAACACAGUGAAAUUCUGUGUCGCCGUAAGCCCAAGGUUUCCUGAGUAAAGUAACUCUGCUCAGGGUUAGUCGGACCCUAAGUCGAGGCCGAAAGGCGUAGACGAUGGAAAACGGGUAAAAUAUUCCCGUACCAGCGGUUAAUUGUCUGAACUAAGGGGGGACGCAGGAGUGAAAGAUCAGCACGGUAUUGAAUAUCCGUGUCUAAGCAUGUAGGGUGAUCCGGUAGGCAAAUCCGCCGGAUCUUAUAACCUGAGAUGUGAAUGGGAAGCGCGCCUUCGGGCAAGCCAACUGAUCCUAAUCAGACUGCCAAGAAAAUCCUCUAUGUUAGAUUAACAGCUGACCGUACCGUAAACGGACACACGUGGGCGAGGAGAGUAUCCUCAGGCGCUAGAGAGAAUCAUGGUUAAGGAACUCGGCAAAAUGGCCCCGUAACUUCGGGAGAAGGGGUGCCCUUAUUAGGUGGAGAUCUUCGUGAUCCGAGCUGAACAGGGCCGCAGUGAAGAGGCCCAAUCGACUGUUUAUCAAAAACACAGGUCUCUGCUAAGUCGUAAGACGAAAUAUAGGGACUGACACCUGCCCGGUGCCGGAAGGUUAAAUGGAGAGGUUAGCACUUUGGUGCGAAGCUCUGAAAUGAAGCCCCGGUAAACGGCGGCCGUAACUAUAACGGUCCUAAGGUAGCGAAAUUCCUUGUCGGGUAAGUUCCGACCUGCACGAAUGGUGUAACGAAUUGGGCACUGUCUCUACUUGGAGCUCAGCGAAAUUGAAGU
This 1411-nucleotide ribosomal RNA is filed under the name marine metagenome. RNAcentral describes it as "bacterial LSU rRNA". It matches the Rfam family "Bacterial large subunit ribosomal RNA", at positions 665 to 2048 of the family's 2925-position model. The record is from RNAcentral.